UCCUUGCCUUCAUUCUCUGAUCCUUCAGCCACCAAAGUAAGGAGAAUUCAAUAAGCUGAUGCUCUGCCAACUUGAAGAGUCCCUAUCAUCUGCAUUCAAUAUCGAUAAUAGCAGCCACCAACACCAAAUAUUUGCAGGUCAAGCGCGAGAUUAAUAAUCAGUCAAGGAGCUACUGUACCACAUAAAGUUGCUAUCAGGUUGAGCUGUAGCCGAUGGUGAUGAAGUGACGAGCAGGAACUUCUUUUGUCUUGACAUUAUAUAUAUAUUUUGAAAAACUCUUGGGUACAUGUCUUCAUACAUGUAAUCAGAAACCUUAUUACUUCCGCUGCGUACUCAAAGAAGUCUUAUGUUAUUUUGGCUAAGUCGGAAAUAUCCGAACUUACUAGUUCAAUCGAAUCAUUGCAACUAAACCUUCGUUAUA
Long non-coding RNA from Salvia miltiorrhiza (redroot sage), 421 nucleotides. RefSeq lists it as uncharacterized. Lineage: Eukaryota; Viridiplantae; Streptophyta; Magnoliopsida; Lamiales; Lamiaceae. The record is from RefSeq and is a predicted model, not a curated record. The transcript has 3 exons.